This is a long non-coding RNA of Capra hircus (goat), 157 nucleotides long. RefSeq lists it as uncharacterized. The record is from RefSeq and is a predicted model, not a curated record. The transcript is spliced from 3 exons. NCBI's taxonomy places the organism in Eukaryota, Metazoa, Chordata, Mammalia, Artiodactyla, Bovidae.
GGAGACACAGACUCCACUUUCAGAGAGUCACACUGUAUACGAGACCCUGCCUCUGUUCCCAGUAGUCUCUUCAAAGAAGAUUUCAAGUCCAUCAUCUGCACAACGAGCAAGUAGGACUCGAUAAACUCUGAGGUUGUUUCUGGCUUGAAAAUUCUAU